Molecule: long non-coding RNA, 1485 nt
Filed under: Canis lupus familiaris (dog)
Lineage: Eukaryota; Metazoa; Chordata; Mammalia; Carnivora; Canidae
Description: lncRNA (ENSCAFG00040002844.1)
Source: RNAcentral
AUGUGCCAGCGCACGGGGCUACGGGCACGCGGGGCGCCGGGCCCCCGCCCCGACACACGCGCCCGCGCCGCACCGCGCACCUGCCCGCCGCCCCCGGGUCGCGUCCCCGCCCGGCCGCUCUGCUCGGCCCCACGCCGCGCCCCCCCGCCCCGCCCCCGCCCCCGCCCCCCGCGGCGCCCCACGCGUCCUGCUUUGUCCUGCCGCUGCCCUCCGGGAGCAGGGCCGGGGCACGUGGGGCGCACAAAAGACCCCCAACCUCCGGCCCGCCACCGCUCCCGCUCCCCUACCCGCCCCCCAGAGGGGUUCCCGGGGCGCCGAGCGGCGCGCGAGGGCAACUUCUGGGGCGUGGGGACCUGCUCGCCCGGGCCGGCGGGGCGGGGGGCGGCGGGGGGCGCGGCCGGGCGCGUGCGGGCGGGGGCCGGGGGGCGCGGCCGGGGCGCGCGCACGUGCACCCUCCGGGGCGCGCUCGCGGGGCUGGAGCUCCAGGGGGCAUCCGAGGACUCGGCCGGCCGCCGGCAGCGCCGCUCCCCCGCCCGGCCGCCAGCCCAACUCCGCCGGCGCUCGCGAGGAACGCAACUCCGGGGACCCCCGCCCCGGCGCCCCGCAGCCCCUCCCCGGGCCCCCGCGGCCCGCCCCCAUCCCCUGCCCCGGGGAGCCCCACACACCCGGCGGCGGGUCCCCUGCCCCGCGCCCCCGGCCCCGGCGCGGCCGCCCUGGGGGCGCAGGCAUCCCUCCCCGCGCGCCCCUCCCGCCGCCCCGCCCCGGCCCGGCCCGGCCCGGCCCGGGGUGGGGGGUGCGGGGCCGAGAGCGAACCGAAAGUCACCGACCUCUCUCCGCAGCGGGCUCGGGCGCUCCCCACAGAGGCGGCGGCGGCGGCGGCGGCAGCAUCGCGGGGUGGUCCCGGCGCGCCCGGCCCCGCUCGGGAGGCGCCCACCUGCCCGCCGCCCUCGGCGCUCCCGGCCGGACCCGCCGCCAGGCGCUCGGCUGCGACCCGAGCUUUUUGUGUCGCCGCCCAGGCUCCGGCACCGAGGGCGGUGGGGCGGGAGGCCGGGCUCCGCGCCCCGCGGCACCGCCCCUCCCGGCGGCUCCGCCCCCUCCACCCCCCUGCGGCGGCCGGUCCUGGACGUCGGUCUGUCCGCCCGCCCGCCCGCGAUCGCACCCCCACCCCCACCCCACCCCCGACGGAGGAGCCGCCCACCCCGUGCCCACGUGCGCCCUCGCCGGGACCUGGACGGGGCCUCCCCAGCGCGCGGGGACCUGAGCCGCGAGCAGGUGCGAGAGGAGGCCCCGGAACCCGGCCCGGGGUCCACGCGUUGCGGCUCCAGAACCUGCCCUGGCACCCGCGUCGCCGCUAGAGAUACUUUUUGGCUGCCCCUGAAAGUUCGCAUCAUCCAAGCAGGGAGCGGUCCUGCUUUUGGGAAGGGGAAGACCGAGUGGACGCCCCACCGCCUGGCUCCCGGGGCGGGGGAGAGCUGCGCGCCCUGA